This 497-nucleotide ribosomal RNA is filed under the name uncultured bacterium. Its description in RNAcentral is "partial 16S ribosomal RNA". It matches the Rfam family "Bacterial small subunit ribosomal RNA", at positions 28 to 507 of the family's 1533-position model. The record is from RNAcentral.
GAUGAACGCUGGCGGCGUGCCUAAUACAUGCAAGUCGAGCGAACAGACGAGGAGCUUGCUCCUCUGACGUUAGCGGCGGACGGGUGAGUAACACGUGGAUAACCUACCUAUAAGACUGGGAUAACUUCGGGAAACCGGAGCUAAUACCGGAUAAUAUAUUGAACCGCAUGGUUCAAUAGUGAAAGACGGUUUUGCUGUCACUUAUAGAUGGAUCCGCGCCGCAUUAGCUAGUUUGUAAGGUAACGGCUUACCAAGGCGACGAUGCGUAGCCGACCUGAGAGGGUGAUCGGCCACACUGGAACUGAGACACGGUCCAGACUCCUACGGGAGGCAGCAGUAGGGAAUCUUCCGCAAUGGGCGAAAGCCUGACGGAGCAACGCCGCGUGAGUGAUGAAGGUCUUCGGAUCGUAAAACCCUGUUAUUAGGGAAGAACAAAUGUGUAAGUAACUAUGCACGUCUUGACGGUACCUAAUCAGAAAGCCACGGCUAACUACGUG